GCCAAACUAGCUCAGUUGGGAGAAUGUUAGACUGAAGAUCUAAAGGUCCCUGGUUCAAUCCCAGGCUUUGGCA
Molecule: transfer RNA, 73 nt
Organism: Pelodiscus sinensis (Chinese soft-shelled turtle)
Lineage: Eukaryota; Metazoa; Chordata; Testudines; Trionychidae
Rfam family: tRNA
About the family: Transfer RNA (tRNA) molecules are approximately 80 nucleotides in length.
Source: Rfam